Felis catus (domestic cat) is the source of this 2192-nucleotide long non-coding RNA. RefSeq lists it as uncharacterized. The record is from RefSeq and is a predicted model, not a curated record. NCBI's taxonomy places the organism in Eukaryota, Metazoa, Chordata, Mammalia, Carnivora, Felidae. The transcript has 4 exons.
GGCCAGAGAGGGAGGGAGACAGAAUCCAAAGCAGGCUUCAGGCCCAAGCUGUCAGCACAGAGCCCAAUGUGGGUCUCGAACUUACGUUCUGUGAGAUCAUGACCUGAGUUGAAGUCGGACACCUAACUGACUGAGCCACCCAGGAGCCCCAGGGGGAGAUAUUAUUAAUUACAAUUACUACCUGAGGAUUUUCAAAGAUCAACAGGAUGAUUCUUAGAGAGAAAACAUUGUUCUUUUUACUUUAGCUCCAGACUUACUGUAAGUGAUAUUAUUAUAUGUGAAAUGCCAAUUUUUAAAUGAAUUUCCUAGAAAAGAAAGAAGUAUUUCCCUUAUUACUCUGACUUUUGAAAUAAAAGCAAGAAUUGGUUCAUUUCUCAAGUGUAAAAUUCAGCAGAAGCCAUGCCUGCUGACCCAUAAGAAUUUUCAAAAGGCUGGCUAAUGCAUUAUUGAUUGUACUCUUUCUAAUUAGUUCUAGGAAGUGGGCAGUCCUUGGGGUGGGGUGGAGGGUACAAGGCCUGGAGCAGUAUUGUGCGUCCCCUUCUCUGCUCCACGGGUCUUGUUAAUCUAGUGCUAUGGAGUCAUGAGGAACACAGCUUGGGUGGUGAACGUUUCUAGAAGGGCUAGCCUGAGGCUGGUGUGAGGCAGUAGGGAGAGGGAAAGCCUCCCGCUGAGCUCCAUGGCCGAGCAGAAGAUGACCUACACCGCAUGUUCCCGUGGAAGACUCAGGUCUGAUUAGCCCGCGGAACCAGCCCCUGCCUUACUCCAUGGCCGCUUCCUGCUUCACAAUUCAUUUUUCAGCAAGAGCUGAGGACAAGAGGAGACGUAGGUGGUCCAGGGCUGUUUAUCGGAUCCUCAUAUCCUACAUUAGUGUUUCUCAGAGGUGACCUUUGUACGUGUGUGUACCUCUGGGCAUACUCCAGUUUACCAGUUUACCGGUGGUUCUUUUAAAGGCAUUGCUGUAAGCCUAAGCAGGGUCUCCCACAUGCUGCUCCCAACCCCAGUCUAUAUCUUGUCACAGUACGACCCUCUGGGCAGCCAAAAAUUAUGGCAGUGAGCAGUAAUGGCCAGCUCCCUAAGACCUGGCAGGGCCUGCCCUUUCUUGGCAGCAAUUUCAUGCCUAUUUACACGCCCAGCGCCAAGAAGGAAGCCAAGAGAGAAUCUGUGUGCGCUUUACGCGCUUUAAAUGCACAGUGAAUUCUCAUACUUUUAAGUGUGGCCAAAUGAAUAUUUUGAGCCGUAUCAAUCUGGUUAGCAAUUCCUCUUUCCUCGGAGAGAAGAAAGGGUUUGGCAUAAGGUGGGUAGAGUGGCAGAUGUGUUUUCUUUUCUAUAUCUGGAUUAAGUUUGAAAGGAGAGGUUUUCCAAGUAGAAAAGCUAGAAUUCAGUUUAAGCAACAGAAGUCUGAAGAUAGGGGCUAUUUUGAACCCACCUUGGUCUGUGGUCCCCUCCCUUUUGUCUUUCUGUACUGUUUUUAUGUGAUUUUGAUUUUUUUAAAAAACUAAACCUUGGGAAGGCCGCAUAUAUAUCUCAGUAACAUACCUGUGACAUGAUGUCAGGAGUAUUUUUAUCUUUCUGGAGCCUUUUUCCAGUGCUAAUGGCUGACUCCAUGAGAUGCCAGAAUACCUCAGAAAGAAGAUGAGGUCACUGAGACUUCCCAUUCCCUAAGCAGGACAAUAUCUCAGAACUGCAGAUGGCAACCAUUUUGUGAGAUGCCUCCACCCCCAUCCCACCUUUUCAUAUCCUAGUGUUUACCAUGGGAGGUUCUAAUGAGCCUGAGUUGUAAGAGUCAGCAAUAAUGGACUGGAAAGAUGGGGCAAUUUUCCCAGAAGACCAAACAGAAUGACGAUCCUCUAAAGAAGGACCAUAACAAUCUAAAGACUGCAUUUACCUGAAUUGACCAUGUUGAGGACCACACGGUAUGUUUUAAGGGUUGGGCCAGAAAGUGAGAUAUAUCACCAGCCAUAUGUCUUUGGCCCACACUAGCUACACAGUCUGACCUACAUGCCAAGGGUGGGGAAAUAUGAUCUUCCUAUUGACUCUGUCAUAUUCUUUAAUAAGAAUCUGUCAGUCAGUAAUAUUUAUUCAUAAUCAGCUUGGUGCAUAUCUUUGUAUUAAGCACCACGAAAGUAAGAAGAGAGUCAAAAGUUCCCAUGCAUGGUUGUAGAGAAUGGGUUCAGGCAAGAGGUCUUUUUUGA